Lampris incognitus (smalleye Pacific opah) is the source of this 812-nucleotide RNA transcript. It is a transcript of the gene named ubiquitin-conjugating enzyme E2 G1-like, with no coding region annotated. The record is from RefSeq and is a predicted model, not a curated record. The transcript has 7 exons. Lineage: Eukaryota; Metazoa; Chordata; Actinopteri; Lampriformes; Lampridae.
UGGUGGGGCGCAAGCAGAGAAGCGUGGUUGGUAUUGCUGUUAUCACAUUUGCUUACUGUCUCUGCCUUGUAGCCGUCGUGUAAAUUUACCGACCGAAAUUUACACGGAACUAAGCAUAAAAAUGACCGAGCAGGCCGCGUUGUUACUCCGCAAACAACUAAAAGAGCUCAACAAACACCCCGUGCAGGGCUUUUCUGCAGGUCCGAUAGAUGAUGAUGACAUCUACCAUUGGGAAGUGGUUAUCAUGGGUCCUCAAGAUACAAUGUUUGAGGGUGGUCUCUUCAAAGCCAUGUUGACCUUUCCUCGUGACUACCCUUUGAAUCCUCCCAAGAUGAGGUUUAUCACAGACAUGUGGCAUCCCAAUGUGGCAGUCACCGGUGAGGUGUGCAUCUCCAUCCUGCAUGCACCUGGAGAGGACAAGUACGGCUAUGAGAGACCUGAGGAGCGCUGGCUACCUAUCCAUACAGUGGAGACCAUCUUAAUUAGUGUUAUUUCUAUGUUAGCAGACCCUAAUGCAGACUCUCCUGCCAACGUGGAAGCAGCUAGAGAGUAUAGGGAGGACCCAACAGGGACGUUCAAGAGGAAAGUAACACGCUGUGUAAGGAAGAGUCAGGAUAGCUUUUGAUAAAGACCUUACUCCAAUCAUCAACCCCGAUGAUGUCAAAGAAAGUUGAAUCAGUUCAUCUGGACACAACGUUUAUUGAGAGAGAAACGUUUCAUCACUCAUCUACGUGACCGCUUCAGUCUCAUCUGUCCAGGUUGGAGAUGAUCAACUGGGUAUUGAACUUGGGCUUGUAGUUGACUAGUAGGAC